This is an RNA transcript of Solanum pennellii, 2008 nucleotides long. It is a transcript of the gene named mitochondrial import inner membrane translocase subunit PAM16 like 2-like, with no coding region annotated. Lineage: Eukaryota; Viridiplantae; Streptophyta; Magnoliopsida; Solanales; Solanaceae. The record is from RefSeq and is a predicted model, not a curated record. The transcript has 3 exons.
UCAAGAAACCUCUCCCAUCAAAAAUUAAAAAAAAUAAAAAUCAUUUCAAUGGACAUAUAAAAUCAGCCAUAUUUCUUCCCCAGAAAAUUAUUAUGUGAGUUCACUCAAAAGGUACGCUUUUUAAUUCUCAUUUCUCUUUCAAUUUUGAAUAAGACUUGUGCACUUUCGCUGAUAUUAAUCACAAUUUGAAUAGGACUUGCCCUUUUAUUUCUUUUAAUUUAUUUUAUAACUGGUUGACUACAACUACAAUGAUUGUUUUAAGUAUUUUAGUUGACUACAAAGUGUGAUAAUGGCGAGACUAUAUGAGGCCACUAAAGGUAUUUCGGGAUUCGUUUGGCGUGAGGUAUAAGGCCAGGAGAAGAUGAAUUCUGAAAUUCGACUUACCGUCCUAUUAGUAACGAGAAGGAAUGAUGGAAGAAUUUGGAAUAGAAGGGACUAGGGGGAGGGGGUAAGUGAGUGGAAGAAAAUGCAGACUCAUGAAGGAAUCAUUACUUUGUUGUCUGAUACUUUUAGUAUGAUAUUUUCACUAUUAAUAGUUACAAAUCUUACUGGGGAUAUAUAUAAAAUUUUGAUUGUUGAACCUGAUUGAUCUCCUUCGGCUGUUUGGUCGUUUCUUAGGCUACACAUUUCCGAUUUCCUCAGAAUUUUAGCAAUGGUAUGUGUUGUACUGUUAUCCUCUUUUAUUAUUGGUGCAAUGUUUUCCCUGAUAUGCUUACAAAUCCAUUCUUCCUUUUAAUGAAAUGACCCUCUAAGCUCUAUAAUUUUUUUAAAGUAUUUGUCUCCAGUAUGUUUUUGUUCAUUAUGCAAUUGUCAAUUAUGCUUCUAUUACUUAGCUACGUUGUACUGGAAACCAUAUUUGAUGGCUAAGUAAAAAUAGUUUAACGACUAAUCAUGUGACCUCCCCUCUGCACCCUAGACAAAGUAUUGUUGAGGAUUCAUAUUAAUUGGCUAGUUUUACAUUGGCUAUUGCAUCCCUCCACUUUUACCCGAGCUCCCCCAGGCACCCCGUAAACAAUGUAAAAUUAUAACAUUUGGAACUCUUUCACCAACACGAAUCUUAUCAUAGAAAAAGUGGAUAUUUCAGGCCAUAGCCCACAUUAUGUCAAUGUUUAUAGAUAUUGUUUCCUAUUUCUUCAAGUACAUGAGUCAUGUGCUUAUGUGAAAUGGUAUCUUAUUUCGCCAACUAUACAUCAUGUUGUUCUUGAGACAGGAUGCAAUAAUUCUUGCUAAUUUAAUUGUAAUGGGCUCUUCUAUAUUGGCAAGGGCUUUUGUUCAAACAUAUUGCCAGGCAUUGUCCAGUAAGUAUCUUCUGAAUUAAUGUUCCUUUAUGUCGAAAAAAAUGUAUCUGAGUCGUUCUGCUCUGCAUCAUAAGCAUUUUGGGGGCUGUUGGGAUGUUUGGUUUGUUUUCUCAUGCUUCCAUGCACAUCUUACGCACUGUGUACUUACUCUAUCCUAAUGGCAAAUGCCUCAGAAAAAUGGUGUUGCUCAAGAAGCAGUGCAGAAUAUAAAAAGAGUUAGCAAAACCAUGACGGAAGCAGUGGCAAGACAGAUUCUUGGUGUCACAGAGGAUUCAUCAUGGGAAGAAAUUGUGCAGAAGUAUGAGAACUUGUUUGAGCGAAAUGCUAAAAAUGGGAGUUUUUACCUUCAAUCAAAGGUACAUAGAGCUAAAGAGUGUCUGAAAGAAGUUUACAAACCUAAAGAACCAGAAACAAAAAAAGGAAAAUUAGACACAUCACAAACAACACGACACUCUCGCACCAUUUGGUAGUAUGAAUGUGUACGAAGGGAUCAAUUUCUUGAGUAGCUUACAAGAAAAAAAGUUGAAAAAACUCGAUAAGUCAAAUUCAUUAUUCAAGCUUCUUGUAUGAUGAUGUUUAAGUCACAGCAAAAAUGCUAUUUAUCUAGCAUUAUUUUGAUGUUAAAAUAUCAUGAUGCAUAAAAUCGUUGUAAUCUAAAAAGCAAGGCAAAUGCCUCUUAUAUUGUUGGAAAUUAUAUGUAUUGUCACGAA